UUCAGGCUGAUUUCAAAGCCACUCUGUAGGCACUAGGCACUCCUGGUAAUGCCGCUUAGGAUCACCCGAGCGCCAUCGAGAUGCCGGCUUUCAAUGAGAGGACUUGAUACAGGCUGAUUGAGUCUGACAACCCAAGUUGACUAAAGAAUGGAACCCAGGACAUUCACACUCAGCUGUCAAGAUAAUGACUCCCUUAGGAUUCCUGGCAACAGCAUCUUUCCAGUCUGCCAUCAGAAACGCUGCAGGUUUUAGUCUGCCUGCCACCCCCUAUUGCAUAGACCAGUGUCCAAAUGCUAUUCCAUAUGUUAACUUCCCAAAAUACAAAUCAUAAUAGAGAUUUAUAUGACAAUGUAUCACCCCCUUUCCUUCCUCCCAUCCCAGAUGUCACAGGCAACAAAUAAAAAUGGCUUAUUUCCCUUUCAGUCAA
This is a long non-coding RNA of Antechinus flavipes (yellow-footed antechinus), 427 nucleotides long. RefSeq lists it as uncharacterized. The transcript is spliced from 2 exons. NCBI's taxonomy places the organism in Eukaryota, Metazoa, Chordata, Mammalia, Dasyuromorphia, Dasyuridae. The record is from RefSeq and is a predicted model, not a curated record.